CCUACGGGUGGCUGCAGUGAGGAAUAUUGGUCAAUGGCCGAGAGGCUGAACCAGCCAAGUCGCGUGAGGGAAGACGGCCCUACGGGUUGUAAACCUCUUUUGUCGGGGAGCAAAGAGAGUCACGUGUGACUCAUUGAGAGUACCCGAAGAAAAAGCAUCGGCUAACACCGUGCCAGCGGCCGCGGUAGUACGGGGGAUGCGAGCGUUAUCCGGAUUGAGUGGGUUAAAGGGGUGCGCAGGCGGAGGUGCAAGUCAGCGGUCAAAUUGCGGGGCUCAAACUCGUACUGCCGUUGAAACUGCAUCCCUUGAGUGCGCGAGAAGUAUGCGGAAUUCGGGGUGUAGCGGUGAAAUGCAUAGAUAUACGGCAGAACACCGAUUGCGAAGGCAGCAUACCGGCCCGCAACUGACGCUCAGGCACGAAAGCGUGGGUAGCGAACAGGAUUAGAUACCCCUGUAGUC
Molecule: ribosomal RNA, 459 nt
Filed under: uncultured bacterium
Lineage: Bacteria
Description: partial 16S ribosomal RNA
Rfam family: Bacterial small subunit ribosomal RNA
Source: RNAcentral